This 274-nucleotide ribosomal RNA is filed under the name uncultured bacterium. Its description in RNAcentral is "partial 16S ribosomal RNA". It matches the Rfam family "Bacterial small subunit ribosomal RNA", at positions 523 to 796 of the family's 1533-position model. The record is from RNAcentral.
AUACGGAGGGUGCAAGCGUUAAUCGGAAUUACUGGGCGUAAAGAGUACGUAGGUGGUUUAUUAAGUCAGAUGUGAAAGCCCCGGGCUCAACCUGGGAACUGCAUUUGAAACUAGUAGACUAGAGUAUGGUAGAGGGGGGUAGAAUUUCUAGUGUAGCGGUGAAAUGCGUAGAUAUUAGAAGGAAUACCAGUGGCGAAGGCGGCCCCCUGGACCAAUACUGACACUGAGGUACGAAAGCGUGGGUAGCGAACAGGAUUAGAUACCCCAGUAGUCC